GGAGAGGUGGCCGAGCGGCUUAAGGCAACGGUUUGCUAAACCGUCGUACUCCGUAAAGGGGUACCGGGGGUUCGAAUCCCCCCCUCUCCG
RNAcentral lists this transfer RNA (90 nucleotides) under Planctomycetota bacterium. RNAcentral describes it as "Planctomycetes bacterium tRNA-Ser". It matches the Rfam family "tRNA". Rfam says of the family: Transfer RNA (tRNA) molecules are approximately 80 nucleotides in length. Their secondary structure includes four short double-helical elements and three loops (D, anti-codon, and T loops). Further hydrogen bonds mediate the characteristic L-shaped molecular structure. tRNAs have two regions of fundamental functional importance: the anti-codon, which is responsible for specific mRNA codon recognition, and the 3' end, to which the tRNAs corresponding amino acid is attached (by aminoacyl-tRNA synthetases). tRNAs cope with the degeneracy of the genetic code in two manners: having more than one tRNA (with a specific anti-codon) for a particular amino acid; and 'wobble' base-pairing, i.e. permitting non-standard base-pairing at the 3rd anti-codon position. Lineage: Bacteria; Pseudomonadati; Planctomycetota. The record is from RNAcentral.